UACGUAGGGUGCGAGCGUUAAUCGGAAUUACUGGGCGUAAAGGGCGCGUAGGCGGCCUUCUAAGUCAGACGUGAAAUCCCCCGGCUUAACCUGGGAACUGCGUCUGAUACUGGGAGGCUUGAGUAUGGGAGAGGGAUGUAGAAUUCCAGGUGUAGCGGUGAAAUGCGUAGAUAUCUGGAGGAAUACCGGUGGCGAAGGCGGCAUCCUGGACCAUUACUGACGCUGAGGCGCGAAAGCUAGGGGAGCAAACGGG
This 253-nucleotide ribosomal RNA is filed under the name uncultured bacterium. RNAcentral describes it as "partial 16S ribosomal RNA". It matches the Rfam family "Bacterial small subunit ribosomal RNA", at positions 524 to 776 of the family's 1533-position model. RNAcentral also lists the same sequence under 1 other name. The record is from RNAcentral.